CCAACAGUGUGACCAAAGGUUGUCACAGAAAUGCAGUGAACAAAUAUUGAAAGUCACUUUUAUAUGCUUUUUUUUUUUUUCACAGACUACCAGGGUGGACUGAGUCUUUGAAAAGCCAAGUCACCAUUCCAGCCUUCAGGACAGAUGAAAAAUCUCUAUACUUUUCCACCGUAGAAUCUAGGGGCCUGGGCUCUCCUUGAGGGACCAUGUGGAUAAGCAUCAUCACCCUGGGCUUCACCCAGAGGCUUUCUAAAUAGAAGUAAGAUUUUAAGACAAAUGUCAUUGCAAAUAUUUCUUUCUCCCUCUACUGUGGUGCAGAUGGGAUAACUUUUACAUUAU
This 339-nucleotide long non-coding RNA is filed under the name Vulpes vulpes (red fox). Its description in RNAcentral is "lncRNA (ENSVVUG00000021460.1)". Lineage: Eukaryota; Metazoa; Chordata; Mammalia; Carnivora; Canidae. The record is from RNAcentral.